RNAcentral lists this ribosomal RNA (253 nucleotides) under uncultured bacterium. Its description in RNAcentral is "partial 16S ribosomal RNA". It matches the Rfam family "Bacterial small subunit ribosomal RNA", at positions 524 to 776 of the family's 1533-position model. The record is from RNAcentral.
UACGUAGGGUGCAAGCGUUAAUCGGAAUUACUGGGCGUAAAGCGUGCGCAGGCGGUCAUGCAAGACAGAUGUGAAAUCCCCGGGCUCAACCUGGGAAUUGCAUUUGAGACUGAAUAGCUAGGGUGCGGAAGAGGGAAGCGGAAUUUCCGGUGUAGCGGUGAAAUGCGUAGAUAUCUGGAGGAACACCGGUGGCGAAGGCGGCAUCCUGGACCGGCAUUGACGCUGAGGCGCGAAAGCUAGGGGAGCAAACGGG